ACGCUCGACACCUACGGAGGCAGCAGUGGGGAAUAUUGCACAAUGGGGGGAACCCUGAUGCAGCGACGCCGCGUGAGUGAAGAAGUACUUCGGUAUGUAAAGCUCUAUCAGCAGGGAAGAAAAUGACGGUACCUGACUAAGAAGCCCCGGCUAACUACGUGCCAGUAGCCGCGGUAAUCUGAGCGGGCUGGCAAGGC
RNAcentral lists this ribosomal RNA (197 nucleotides) under uncultured bacterium. RNAcentral's name for it is "partial 16S ribosomal RNA". It matches the Rfam family "Bacterial small subunit ribosomal RNA", at positions 328 to 539 of the family's 1533-position model. The record is from RNAcentral.